RNAcentral lists this ribosomal RNA (253 nucleotides) under uncultured bacterium. RNAcentral describes it as "partial 16S ribosomal RNA". It matches the Rfam family "Bacterial small subunit ribosomal RNA", at positions 524 to 776 of the family's 1533-position model. The record is from RNAcentral.
UACGUAGGGUGCAAGCGUUAAUCGGAAUUACUGGGCGUAAAGCGUGCGCAGGCGGUGAUGUAAGACAGGUGUGAAAUCCCCGGGCUUAACCUGGGAACUGCAUUUGUGACUGCAUAGCUAGAGUACGGUAGAGGGGGAUGGAAUUCCGCGUGUAGCAGUGAAAUGCGUAGAUAUGCGGAGGAACACCGAUGGCGAAGGCAAUCCCCUGGGCCUGCACUGACGCUCAUGCACGAAAGCGUGGGGAGCAAACAGG